AUUGAACGCUGGCGACAGGCUUAACACAUGCAAGUCGAGCGGGGUGAUGGUGCUUGCACUAUCACUUAGCGGCGGACGGGUGAGUAAUGCUUAGGAAUCUGCCUAUUAGUGGGGGACAACAUCUCGAAAGGGAUGCUAAUACCGCAUACGUCCUACGGGAGAAAGCAGGGGAUCACUUGUGACCUUGCGCUAAUAGAUGAGCCUAAGUCGGAUUAGCUAGUUGGUGGGGUAAAGGCCUACCAAGGCGACGAUCUGUAGCGGGUCUGAGAGGAUGAUCCGCCACACUGGGACUGAGACACGGCCCGAGCUCCUACGGGAGGCAGCAGUGGGGAAUAUUGGACAAUGGGGGGAACCCUGAUCCAGCCAUGCCGCGUGUGUGAAGAAGGCCUUAUGGUUGUAAAGCACUUUAAGCGAGGAGGAGGCUCUUUUGGUUAAUACCCAAGAUGAGUGGACGUUACUCGCAGAAUAAGCACCGGCUAACUCUGUGCCAGCCGCCGCAGUAA
Molecule: ribosomal RNA, 503 nt
Filed under: uncultured bacterium
Lineage: Bacteria
Description: partial 16S ribosomal RNA
Rfam family: Bacterial small subunit ribosomal RNA
Source: RNAcentral